RNAcentral lists this ribosomal RNA (403 nucleotides) under Fusobacteriota bacterium. Its description in RNAcentral is "Fusobacteria bacterium partial 16S ribosomal RNA". It matches the Rfam family "Bacterial small subunit ribosomal RNA", at positions 355 to 776 of the family's 1533-position model. Lineage: Bacteria; Fusobacteriati; Fusobacteriota. The record is from RNAcentral.
UGGGGAAUAUUGCACAAUGGAGGGAACUCUGAUGCAGCGACGCCGCGUGAGUGAUGAAGGAAUUCGUUUCGUAAAACUCUGUUCUAUGGGAAGAAAAGGACUGUACCAUAGGAGAAAGCUCCGGCUAAAUACGUGCCAGCAGCCGCGGUAAUACGUAUGGAGCGAGCGUUGUCCGGAAUUAUUGGGCGUAAAGGGUGCGCAGGCGGCUUUACAAGUUGGAUGUGAAAUAUUGUGGCUCAACCACAACGUGCAUCCAAAACUGCAAAGCUUGAGUUAAGGAGAGGUAAGUGGAAUUCCUGGUGUAGCGGUGGAAUGCGUAGAUAUCAGGAGGAAUACCGGUGGCGAAGGCGACUUACUGGACUUAAACUGACGCUCAGGCACGAAAGCGUGGGGAGCAAACAGG